AGGACGAACGCUGGCGGCGUGCUUAACACACGCAAGUCGAGCGGAAAGGCCUUUCGGGGUACUCGAGCGGCGAACGGGUGAGUAACACGUGAGUAAUCUGCCCAUCGCUUCAGGAUAGCCAUCGGAAACGGUGAUUAAUACUGGAUAUGACAUUCCUUCGCAUGUUGGGGUGUGGAAAGUUUUUUCGGCGGUGGAUGUGCUCGCGGCCUAUCAGCUUGUUGGUGGGGUAAUGGCCUACCAAGGCUUUGACGGGUAGCCGGCCUGAGAGGGUGACCGGCCACGACUGGGACUGAGACACGGCCCAGACUCCUACGGGAGCAGCAGUGGGGAAUAUUGGACAAU
Molecule: ribosomal RNA, 342 nt
Filed under: uncultured soil bacterium
Lineage: Bacteria
Description: bacterial SSU rRNA
Rfam family: Bacterial small subunit ribosomal RNA
Source: RNAcentral